Molecule: ribosomal RNA, 587 nt
Filed under: uncultured Aquabacterium sp.
Lineage: Bacteria; Pseudomonadati; Pseudomonadota; Betaproteobacteria; Burkholderiales; Sphaerotilaceae
Description: bacterial SSU rRNA
Rfam family: Bacterial small subunit ribosomal RNA
Source: RNAcentral
UACUCCUACGGGAGGCAGCAGUGGGGAAUUUUGGACAAUGGGCGCAAGCCUGAUCCAGCCAUGCCGCGUGCGGGAAGAAGGCCUUCGGGUUGUAAACCGCUUUUGUCAGGGAAGAAAUCCUUUGGGUUAAUACCUCGGAGGGAUGACGGUACCUGAAGAAUAAGCACCGGCUAACUACGUGCCAGCAGCCGCGGUAAUACGUAGGGUGCGAGCGUUAAUCGGAAUUACUGGGCGUAAAGCGUGCGCAGGCGGUCUUGCAAGACAGGUGUGAAAUCCCCGGGCUUAACCUGGGAACUGCACUUGUGACUGCAAGGCUGGAGUACGGCAGAGGGGGAUGGAAUUCCGCGUGUAGCAGUGAAAUGCGUAGAUAUGCGGAGGAACACCGAUGGCGAAGGCAAUCCCCUGGGCCUGUACUGACGCUCAUGCACGAAAGCGUGGGGAGCAAACAGGAUAGAUACCCUGGUAGUCCACGCCCUAAACGAUGUCAACUGGUUGUUGGACGGCUUGCUGUUCAGUAACGAAGCUAACGCGUGAAGUUGACCGCCUGGGGAGUACGGCCGCAGGUUGAAACUCAAAUGAAUUGACGG